RNAcentral lists this long non-coding RNA (346 nucleotides) under Brassica rapa (field mustard). RNAcentral's name for it is "long non-coding RNA (BRAP_LNC008534)". Lineage: Eukaryota; Viridiplantae; Streptophyta; Magnoliopsida; Brassicales; Brassicaceae. The record is from RNAcentral.
ACCUAUGGUUGGGGUGAAACGGUCGAGUCCCUGAGUGGACCAGGACCAGAGUACGAUCGAGUCCAAGGAAGGACCAGGAUCGAAUUAUGACAAAGUCCAGUGAAGGAUAGAAGUCAAGUCUGAGGUGCUUUUAGUCUGGAGGGACUAAAAUCGCAAUGUGGCCAAGCCUGAAAAGGUUGUGGCCGGUUAAGGGGAUGAUCCAGUACGUUGUGGCUGAGGUCACGAACCUUAUUGUCCAUGAAGGACAAAGAACCAUAACAAUCUGUUAGGACUCGUUGUAGGACGAGCAGCCUAAAGAUUGGAACAAGUUCGUGAGGACUUGACUGGAACAUCGAGUGGUGUGGGG